AUAAUAACUUUGCAAAUCGAAACUACGUUUCGAUACAUCAUUCAAGUUUCUGACCUAUCAUGCUCUCGAUGGUAGUGUAUUGGACUACCAUGGCAGUCACGGGUAACGGAGAAUUAGGGUUCGAUUCCGGAGAAGGAGCCUGAGAAACGGCUACUACAUCUAAGGAAGGCAGCAGGCGCGUAAAUUACCCAAUCCUAAAUCAGGGAGGUAGUGACAAGAUAUAACAACGCGAUUAAAAUGUCGCGAUUGUAGUGAGGGUAUUCUAAAAAUAGCUUCGAGUACGAUUGGAGGGCAAGUCUGGUGCCAGCAGCCGCGGUAAUUCCAGCUCCAAUAGCGUAUAUUAAAGUUGCUGCAGUUAAAAAGCUCGUAGUUGAACUUCAUGAGCAGUAGGUAGCUUACUACCUGCUCUCUACCAGUCUUCGACUGUUACUGUGAGAAAAUUAGAGUGUUUCAAGCAGGCUAUUGCAGGAAUACAUUAGCAUGGAAUAACGAAUGUACCUAC
This 502-nucleotide ribosomal RNA is filed under the name uncultured eukaryote. RNAcentral describes it as "SSU rRNA". It matches the Rfam family "Eukaryotic small subunit ribosomal RNA", at positions 253 to 830 of the family's 1831-position model. The record is from RNAcentral.